AAAUGGUGAUUCUGCUGUAUCAACGUUUAGGGCUUUACGAGCAGAUUGCGGUCGACAUAAUCGACCCACAGAGGAAACAAUUUGGAAUACAGAGACAAAAAUUGAAGAGACUAAAUCGGUUACUGAUAUUAAAAUACCUCUCAGAAAUGUAAAGGAACACAAAUGGACUGUAAAAAUCAUGAGAAUGGCGGUAGACGCGGUACGGAGAAAAGCAAUGGGCUAUUUGGAGGAUACCAAACACUACAACAACCGCGCUCUACAUUAUUGCGAUACUGCAAGAAUGAUAAAGAAGUAGAAAAUAUUAAAAAAGAGACUUUGAAAGAGCUAGAAACCAAACUGUGGAUUAAGCCGGAGUAUGGAAGCUUGUAUCAUUGCCGAAGAACGACUAGUUGGUAACAACGGAAUUAUUAAUGGACAAUAUAGCUAAAAAUACGGAGCGUUCAAAUGUAACGUAACUAAACUGAUCCCAUUUAAGAAUAACAACGAUCUGGCAAAUUGAAUGUUUUGGUUCAUCGUGCAUUAUUGCCUAUGACGGAAACAAAAAAAUCUGUUACAUUUGUAUGUAUCACAUAGGUAUAUAAUAUAUAACAAUAUGUAAA
Long non-coding RNA from Dendroctonus ponderosae (mountain pine beetle), 599 nucleotides. RefSeq lists it as uncharacterized. The transcript is spliced from 3 exons. Lineage: Eukaryota; Metazoa; Arthropoda; Insecta; Coleoptera; Curculionidae. The record is from RefSeq and is a predicted model, not a curated record.